RNAcentral lists this long non-coding RNA (14988 nucleotides) under Coffea arabica (coffee). RNAcentral's name for it is "long non-coding RNA (CARA_LNC005857)". The record is from RNAcentral. Lineage: Eukaryota; Viridiplantae; Streptophyta; Magnoliopsida; Gentianales; Rubiaceae.
AGAGCCCUAUGCCCUCCUCCAACCCUCAUUAUCUGGUUCCUUUUCUCGAGAUGUAUCUGUACAAAGAUGGUAAUAUUCCUAAUAUAGAUGCUAUGCCUUGCCCGCGAAUCCUUGCGACUCACCUACCUUAUCAAUUCCUUCCAAGCACCAUUUUGGAUUGUUCCAACCGUCGAAUCAUCUACCUUUGCCGAAACCCUUUGGAUGUAUUCACCUCUUGGCUGCACUUUGUGCUGCAAAAUGGUUUUGCAUCAAGGCCAUCGGCGUCUCUUGAUGUACCUUUUGAAACAUUUUGUCAGGGCAUAUACCCGUAUGGUCCACUCUGGGACCAUUGUUUGGGAUAUUGGAAUGCAAGCUUGAAGGACCCUCAAAAAGUGUUGUUUUUGAAGUAUAAUGAUAGCUGACUUCUUAGGUCAUCCAUUUUCAGCUGAGGAAGAGGAAGCAGGUUUGGUUGAAGAGAUAGCAACGCUUUGCAGCUUCGAAAAUCUUAAGAAUUUUAACUGUAACAAAGAGGGGGAGAUACAAACUGUUUUUAGAGCUAAGCAUAAUUCCUUUUUCAGGAAAGGAGAAGUCGGUGAUUGGGUGAGUUUGGUUCCUCCAUCCAUGGCGAAACGACUCGAAAAACUGAUGCAAGAAAAGUUGGGUGAAUCAGGGUUGACACUGGAUAUCCAUGGCAAUUCUGUCUGAAGAAGAUGAAUGUUGGAUAGGACGGAUCCAUGUUUCAACAGUUUUUCCUCAAAAAACAAAGAAAACAAAAUAAAAGGCCUAACUCAUUUACGUUCAAAUUCCUAACUUUUGGAUGUGUGAUCUCACUUAAUCCAAACAAGGAUGUUUGUUUACACCACCCAUUCGACUAAUUCUUAAUCAUUAAUUGUAUUGGUUCACUGCAGACUAAAACCCCCAAAAAAAAAAAAACUUAAUUCUUUUUUUUCCCCCUAAAGUGAGAAGGGUACUACUAUCGGCAAACAAAAAUUUGCGCACAAUUCUAUGAGCAAAAUCAUUAUUUGAUUGGUCCUCUCUCGAGGGUAGGAAUAGUGGCUCCCACUUCUUCUAGACUUUUUCAAUUUACGUAGAAUUCAAACACAAUUUACAAAACCAUCUCCAGACUAGAAACCCCCAACAAGACUUAAUGAGAAGAGUACUACCAGCAUACAAAAGUUUGAGCACAAUUCUAAGAGAAAAUCAUUAGCUCCAUUUGAAGAAGUAAGAAAAAGAGUUAAACGAGUCAAAGUGGGAGUGAAAUUUUUUAUUGUACUCUAAAUUGCUCAAUUCCUUAGUUUGGAAAAGGCAAUGCAAGUAAUCUCAAUUGGUCCACAAACUUUGCCAUGAGUUAAAAUUCUUCCCAAAUAACUGGUACAAUUUUGUAGCACCCACCAUGUAUUAACUUAUUACAACUACAAUAGAAAGUACAUGUUAGUUUUUUCAAAUUUGUACGUCUAGACAUUAUUAUAUUUUGAAUUUUUGUGCUGUUGGCCGAAUGUUGACUGUUAAUAGCCACCGACAUUGUAGCUGUCCCUGCCUCUUAUCCGUAAUGUGUCAGCUAGAAAUGUUGGAAAUGUUACAUGUGCACAGAUGUGUAUGGUAAACAUGGUGCAAAACAGAACAUUUCCAUCAAAUUUAAUGAAAGGUAAAGGAUACUAACGCACAGCAAUAAGCAACAAUAACUUAAAGAUCUUGAGGGUGGGAGCUUCAAUCUUGAUCUGUAUUAGGGCAUUUGUUUUAUAUUCUUAAUUUUGCAGUUAGAACUUUUGAGCUUGAAUUUCCAAAGGUGGCGGGAUGGCAGAGAGAAAUGCCCAGAUGAAAAAACAUGCAUAACAGUCUAGUGCUCAUCUUUACGAGAUACAUUUGCCAUGGAAUUCCAUCGUCAACCCUGAUUCACCGGAAUUUUCUUAGGCCAGAUCUUUAAGUUGGUUGGCCAUGGAAGGAGUAAAGUGCCAUUGACUGAAUCUUAAGUUCGCUGAACAGUGUCACUGAUUGGACCUAAUCGAAAUAAACUUGAAGAUUUAGGCUAUAAACUUUUUAAAAUUAAGAGUUUAAAGUACAAAGUAUCCGGAAUACAAAUUUAAGAUACAAAGUGAAAAAAUGAUAAAAGUUUAAGGGUAUAAAGAGAAAUUAGUCCAAUUAGGAUUAACCCUUAAGCAAGGACCAACGCUCAUCAGAUUAAUGACUUCCUUGGAUCUUGUUUCAUUUUCCUUGUCAUUUUACGCACCAAGCCUGGCAAAUUUUAGUAAAAGAAUUUUUUUAUAUGAAAUUCGUUUAAACCGUUUUAGUAUUUUGUUAAAUAAAUUUUUUCAUCCUUUAAUUUUUAAAUAAUAACUUUAUAUCUCUUGAAGUAUUGAAAGGUAGCCUCUAACUAGCAUCUAUUAUCGUUCCUCUAACUUCUAUGCCUUGCUACCUGAUACGGAUAGUACGGCGUAUAAUGAUAAUAAUAAUAACUACUCCUAUUAAUUUUUACUGCACCAAUUUUAAAAUUUUUUGUAAUGUAAAACUUUACAUCGAGAUGCACAUUAAAGACAUACAUUUUAUGAUCACCUGACUUGUGGUACCUCGCACAUUAAAGCACCUACUUUAUUAUCUGUAGCCAGCUAUGAUCCAAUGGAAUUAAUAUAGAAUCCUUUUCCACCAAUUAAAUAUCACAAGACUUCAAGUAUGGUUAGCCUCUCACUCUCAUCGACUGUGUGAUUGAUGCACACAGAUAUUUGACAUAUGAAAGAGGGGUCUCUCUUAGUAGUAAUAUUUAUUUUGUAACUUUUAUUGAUGAUUUUGUCAGAAAAAUUUUGUGUUUUGUUUUGAAAUCUAAAUAUCAGGUUUCAUAUAUGUUCAAAGAUUUUCGUAGCAAAGUUGAGAGGGGCACUAACAAUUUCUUGAGAUAUUUUUCCCUAUCAAUUGAUAGUUAUGUGAUAUUCAAUGAUGGAGCCAAGGGGGGCAGAGGGGGCCAUGGCCCCCCCUAAGUUUUGAGAAUUUUAAUUCAUAAUAUGUAAAUAUAUGUGUAAAAUAAAAUUGGCCCCCCCAAAUUUUUACAAUUUUAGUGAGAGUUGAUAUAUAUAUAUAUAUAUAUAUAUAUAUAUAUAUAUGAAUUAGUCAUCUUUGAAUGGAAUGGCUUGCAAGCUUUUAAUUUGACAUGAAUGUCCAUUUGCCUAUUACAUUCAUUGUUUGGCUCAUAGGUUUCAACUUGCUUUAUUUGCAGCUUCUAGAGAAGUAGCUUCUGUUCACCAAUUCUUCUCCAAUUUAGUUUUCAUUAUCAGCAUUGUUACUGCAUCUAGCAAACGUAAUGACGAAUUAAAGAAGGUUCAAGCAAUUGAAGUUGCUACUAAGAUUGCUAAUGGUGAACUUGAAACUGGAAGGGGGAUUAAUCAAAUUGGCACUUUAAAACGAGUUGGAGAUACUCGUUGGGGUUCUCAUUUGGAUUCUAUUUCUAGUUUACUGAAAAUGUUCAAUGCUACUUGUGUGGUUUUAAGUAACAUUGCAGUAGAUGAAAAUCCAUACUCUCAACGUUUGUUUUCACUUUGCAUCUUAUGAAAGACAUUAUGGAAGUUACUCAUCUUCUUUGUAUAGCAUUGCAACGUAAAUCUCAAGAUAUUUUGAAUGCAAUGCAUCUUGUCCCAAGCACAACAAAGCUACUGAAGAAUUUUCGAGAUUCGGGAUGGGAUGAUUUCUUGGUGAAAGUUAAAUUAUUUUGUAAGCAACAUCAAAUUGACAUCCCAUGUAUGAAUGCUCAAUAUAUUGCAAGAUGUGGUAGAUCUCGAAGUAAUCAUGAUGAGAUUAGUGUGGAGCAUUAUUAUCGAGUGGAUAUAUUUCUUGCAACAAUUAAUUAUCAAUUGCAAAAGUUACAUAGCAGGUUUAAUGAUUAUAUCGUGGAAUUGUUUGUUUUGAUUACUGCUUUAGAUCCUAGAAAUGGAUUUAUGCUAUUCAAGAUUGAUGAUAUUUGUAAACUUGCAGAGAAGUUCUAUCCGAAUGAUUUUAUAGAGUAAGAACUAGUACAUCUAAGAAUAGAACUUCAACAUUUUGAGCUCGACAUUCCAAAUCAUCCUGAAUUGCAAGAAUUAUAUUAAUGAGUUAUGUCAAGACUUGGUGAAGACAAGAAAAUUAGUGAUAUAUCCUUUUAUUAAUAGAUUGAUUAGACUUGUUCUUACUCUUUCUGUAUCAAUUACAACUACAGAGCGGGCAUUUUCAAUUAUGAAAAUAAUCAAGACAAAGCUCCAAAACAAUAUGGAAGAUAAUUUCUUCAAUGAUUGUCUAAUUGUGUAUAUAGAAAAGGAAGUUGCUGAAAAAUUUAGCAGUGAUUCAAUCAUAGAUGAAUUUAGUUCUAUGAAAGAGCGUAGAGCUCAAUUUACUUCUAAAAAAAGAUGUUGAAAUUUCAAAGUAUGUUAACAUAACUUUUAUCUUUUUUCAAUUGAAAAUAGUUACAUUUAUAUUACAUGGUUAUAUAUAUAUAUUGCAUAGGUGACAUAUUGGAGAGCAACUUCUUAUAAUGUGCAAAUUGGAUGGUUUGUGAUGUUAUAAAAUAUUUAAUCAAAGGUUAUCUUUUUUGUUAAUUUUUGUUAUGACUGUACCGCAUAUUUAUGAAUAGACGUACCUUUAUAAUUAAAUUUAAUAUUUGAUAUUUUUAGAUGUCAUAUAUUUAAAUAGAAGAAAAUUAUUUUGAACAUAAUAUAUUAAGAUAAUUUUAUUAGGAGAAAAUUUUGGCCCCCCUAAAAAAAAAUCCUGGCUCCGUCACUGGUGAUAUUAGCUCGUUAGGACUCCUAAGAAACAAAGGCGGAACAAGUUUACUAUUUUUUUUUUUAUUUUUUCAUAUAUCGAAUGCAAAAUCAAGGUGGAGAUGUGUUAGCAUUAAAUAACAUGCAAGUGGCUUUCCAUCCUCCGUGUCUUUUGGUCAGAUGCAAUGGGGUAAGAAGCUAAAUUUCUACCGUCCUACAGUCGUACUAGUAUGAAGGCCAAGUUUUGUUUUCCUUUGAAGUCGAAAAUCAGCAAUAAUCUUGGUUCAUAUACUGUACAAAUUUCAGUCGCAAUUUUGCCUAUAUAAAGAGGGACUUUCAAAAGCCUUGGAUUGCACCACACUACAUUGCUUAAACGUCGAGAGACAGAGAGCUCAGGGAGAUUUUUCCAUUUGUCUAAAUUUAUUUAUAUUUAUUUUUUGUAUUGCCUCUUUCCUGUUUUGGAAUUGGUCCUAAACUUUGAAUGCUUCUUUAUUGGAAUUUGCUCACCUCCUCCUGCCGUAGACAUAGAUUUAAUUGACUGAACCACGUAAAUUUUUAUGUCAUCAUCUUUUAUUAUUUUCUUCACAUUUUAUUAUAAUUCUCGUUAUUAUUUUUGUGGGUUAUCAAAUUAACUUUUCGUAACAAUCCAGGCUGGAUUCUAACACGUGAAAUGUCGAAUACCCGUAAAAUGAUAUCUUCAACUGAAGCGGAGCAAAAAGAUGAUCACUUUAAAGAGUUUUUCCAGAGGUUGCAACCAAAGAAGCUUGUAGAAGGGGAGCUGCUGGCUAAUUACCAAGGCAUUUGGUUUGUUGCAGAUUUACUUCGAGCUACACUAACCUUUCAAAAGCACUUCAAAGCCAAUGACUCUGACAUUUUUUUGGCCACCAUGGCAAAAUCAGGAACCACAUGGCUGAAAGCCCUCGCCUUCAGUAUUGUUAACCGUAACAAUCAUUCAGUUGAUGAGAGCCCUUUGCUCUUCUCCAACCCUCAUUAUCUGGUUCCUUUUCUCGAGAUGCAUCUGUACAAGGAUGGUAAUAUUCCUGAUAUAGAUGCUAUGCCUUGCCCGCGAAUCCUUGCGACUCACCUACCUUAUCAAUUGCUUCCAAGCACCAUUUUGGAUUGUUCCAACAGUCGAAUCAUCUACCUUUGCCGAAACCCUUUGGAUGUAUUCACCUCUACGCGGCACUUUGUGCUGCAAAAUGGUUUUGCAUCAAGGCCAUCGGCGUCUCUUGAUGUACCUUUUGAAACAUUUUGUCAGGGCAUAUACCCGUAUGGUCCAUUCUGGGACCAUUGUUUGGGAUAUUGGAAUGCAAGCUUGAAGGACCCUCAAAAAGUGUUGUUUUUGAAGUAUGAGGAUCUAAAAAAGGAUAUCAAUAGCUCCGUGAAGAAGAUAGCUGACUUCUUAGGAUAUCCACUUUCAGCUGAGGAAGAGGAAGCAGGUUUGGUUGAAGAGAUAGCAACGCUUUGUAGCUUCGAAAAUCUUAUGAAUUUGAACUGUAACAAAGAGGGGGAGAUACAAACUGUUUUUAGAGCUAAGCAUAAUUCCUUUUUCAGGAAAGGAGAAGUCGGUGAUUGGGUGAAUUUGGUUCCUCCAUCCAUGGCCAACCGACUCGAAAAACUGAUGCAAGAAAAGUUUGGUGAAUCAGGGUUGACACUGGAUAUCCAUGGCAAUUCUGUCUGAAGAAGAUGAAUGUUGGAUAGGACGGAUCCAAGUUUCAACAGUUUUUCCUCAAAAAACAAAGAAAACAAAAUAAAAGGCCUAAUUCAGUUACGUUCAAAUUGUUUGUUGCUUCAAUUACAAUCAUAAACCCAAGUUUGUAAUAAUUCAAUGUGUGUGUUUGUUGCUUAUUGUAAGACCGAAAUUAUCAGUUUUGGACAAUGUUAGUAUAUAUCUACGCACAUGCGAGUUUUUUUCAAGUAGUUAUUUACUAAAAUGGCUUGCCACCUUUUUUCCGGUUUGUAAUAUCUCAAAUUCCUGAUUUAAGGAAUUAAAUCAGAAAUUAAUUGAAUGUUUACAUAAUUGGAAUUAAUUACAAUUAAUUGACCUAAUUAUUACCUGAGCAACCAUUAUCACAUUUAUGCCCCAUGUUCAGCCGAUUACCCUAAACAACUAUCACCAUAGUUGUGCUUCCAUGUUCAGCCGAUAGCCUUUCUUCGUUUUUUGUUUCACCUCUUUGGUUUUAUUAUGGCUAUUAAAUAUUAUGGGAUUUAAUAAAAGAUUUAGACAUGUAGAGAUUAGAGUUUGAUAAGAAGAAUGGCAUUUCUUUCCAAGGACACGCGAAAAGAAAGGGAUAUACCAGCAACUUAUUGUUCAUAGCUUCAUAUUGCCCAACUUGCUGGCUUCUCGAACUAGAUAAUUAAUUUGUAGGAGAAGUUAUCAUAAAUGAAAAAAAAAAACAUUUACAUGUUCUUGUUGAAUGGCAGACUUGAUUAAGGUAGUUUUGUGAUCCAAAAGUUGCACGAAGCCGGUAAAAGCAUGGAUGAUCUUUCUUUUUGACCUUUCAAACAAAAAGCUGGUCCAUGAUAUGGUGACCCAAAUUCUUUUGGACGCUAGACAUAAUGAAAAGUUGAAAACAUCCACUUGGAGUUGCUCUGACUGGUGACAGUUGGUGUUCCACCCAAUAAAACAAUUAUCUCAAUCCACAUUCGAUACGAACAAAAAAGUAGACUAAUCAAAGGAAUUGAAAAAAAGGAUUAAAUUCUUCAUUAAAUUGUAGAUCGAAAGUUUGAAUCUCAUUUAUAGUGAAAAAAAAUUUAAAAAUGAGUUAGAACAUUUUUUUAAUUUAGUCAGGUCUGUAAAUUUGUUAAUUCAAUUUACAGUCUAAUAAAAUAGAUUAUGUUGUAUAAAUAGUAUCGUUCAAAAAAAAAAAAGAAUUAAAGAUGGGGGUGUUAAAUAAGUAGUGCUCCCUACUCCAUCCUAGUAAGAAAUUAAACUUGGCAUACAGGGGUAUUACAUUAAUUAGCAUUUGAUACCUUCCUAGGAAAAAGAGGCAAGCAUAUAUUCUCUUCACAUGCUUGUUUCUUGGUGGGAAACCUUUUUUUAGAAAAAAAUUUUAUUAAAUGUCAGAUGAAUGUGUAAAAUAUAAAAUUAAAUUGGUAUAAAUCAUUUUUUUUAAAAAAAUUGAAUGAUAAAUGGAGCGGGGUGGGUACCCGGUAACCCGACCUUAUCUCAGCGGAUACUCGAUUAUAGGGUACCCGCUGAUAUGCGGGGCGGGUAAGGGUCAGAAAACGGCUUACCCGCAAGGCGCGGGUCGGAUCAGCCAAAUGGUGAAUGGGUUGGAUACCCGACCCGCGUCCACCCCUAACUGCUACUGACGAACUUGAGCAAGAGAUGUUGUCAACUUCACCAUCACCACCACAAGAUGAGUCUAGAAGAUCUACCAGAAAGAGGAGACAUUCUAGUAGAUAUAAUCCUAAUGAGUAUGUGUUGCUAAUAUAUGGAGAGGAACCUGAGUUCUACAAUGAGGUUCUAGAGUACGAGAGAAAAGAAGAUUGGUUGGAAACUAUGCAAGAGGAGAUAAUGUCCUUACAUAAGAAUCACACCUAUGACCUGAUGAAAUUGGCUACGAGCAAGAGAGCACUAAAAAUGGAAUAGAUUUUUAAGUUGAGGACUCAAGAGCACAACUCACUACUAAAGUAGAAGGCAAGAUUGGUUGUGAACAAAUUCAGUAAGAAGGGUGAUUUGAAACGCGAUUGAGAUGAAAUUUUAUCAGUUUGCGCGUACAUUGCUUUUGUUUGGGAGGCAAGUUUUUUUGGCCUAUUUUUAAUACACAAAAUUUUUUUAUAACUUUGUCUCUAAUAACUUUCUAAAACACUCUACGAUUUUUCAAAAUAUACACCCCAAAAAGUCAAAAAUACACAAAGUUUUUUCUUUCUUUUCUCUUUUCUUCUUCUUCCUCCGUCGUUUCAACCCAUCAUUAUCGGCUGGCAUUCCGCAAGCACCCUUCUUCGCCCUCCCCCCCUCCCCCAACACCAUUUUUUUCUCUCACCCUAUCUCUUGUCCUUCCGCUUUUCCUUCCUUCUUUCUUCCUCCCUCACUCCUCCUCUCCUCUCCUUUCCCCCCUCCUUCUCUUCCCUCUCUCCCUCACCUCACCCCUAUUUCUCACAAAUUCAUAGAUGCUGUGAUUUUUGUCACAGACACAAUCUAAAUGUCUAAAGUUUUAAUAAAUCGAGAAAGUUUUCACCCUUUGAGAUUUUAAGGGAUAAUAUUAUCCAAAAUUUAAUGAUAAACUUAAGAUGAAAUUGAGAGAUUUAUUUAUAUUAGAAGGCUAUUAAUGAUUUGUAGACUUCUAUGACCCUUAAAAUUACAGUGUAUAUAAUAUUUUGAUACAUAAAUGUGCCCUAACUCUUAAUACCUCGGCCAAAUUACACAAACAAUGACGACACAGAUAACUUAAAAAUAAAGAUUUAAUAUAGAAUUUUAGUAUAUUUAAAAAACUUCAACUUAUCUCAGGUCAACUAAUUCGUUUCACAAUGACUUUUCUUCACUAACCAAAUGCCACGAGAAAUAUCCAUCUUUUAUCACAAGGAUAGUCUUUUGCAUAAUUGGAAUAUUGAAAAAUCACAUAAUUUUCAAACCAUCCUUAGCAUUAUUAUGGGAUCAUGUAAUUCUAAUGCUCGACUCAAACUCGAUUAAUAGAGCUGUGAAGCUAGUACCACCCAUUUGUUGGAAUUUUUUUGCUUUGGCACUAUUAUUAGUUAUCCAUAAAACUCUAUAAUGGUGUGUUCCAUAGCGAGAUAGACACAUCCUAGAUUACAAUUUUUUUAAUUUUGAUUAAAAGAUAUUUUCACGAGCACUUCAGGUUUUUUGCCUCUUUUUUCUGAGUUAUAGUCCGGCAAAUAGCUUCCAAAUUCGAUUAAUUUUCAUAUGGACUAACCAACGUAGUUCCUUUUCAUUUUUCUUGUUCCUUUUUUUUUUUUUGAGAGAAGAGGGGGGGGGGAGUGUUCGGAAGACCGGGCCAUAUUUAGACUGACACAUUAUAAAUGGUGUCCAGAUGUAUAGGUAGCUCAAUAAUUGACAAAGCAACUGAAUGCAAGUCACCUUCUCUUGUCUGCAACAAAGUCGGCAAUAAAUAAUCCUUAAAAAACAGUAAGGAUGAUUGACAAAAAAGAAACAAAAAAGUGGCUAUAAAUACUAAAUAUUGUAGCAGUAACAAGUUUAAUUUGAUUCAGAGUUUCAGAUGAUUGAGACAUAGGGAUGGUAAUGAGGCAGGUGGCUCUGUUUUUAAACUCGGUUCGGACCGGCUGAUCCGACUAGUUGAAUCGGGAAUGUGUCAAUUGUUCGGUCUGAGUUAAUCCUAAAAAUUGGACAAUAAAAAAUUCUGUCAAAUCAUGUCAAAAAUCGAGUUUGACUGGAAAAUAUAAACCAAGUCUCUUUUUUUUUUGAAAUGUCAAAAUAUUUUUAAUAUUAUGUUUUGACCCCUAAGUUAUUAAAAUUUUUUAAUAUACUUCAAAUAUUUCAUAUUUUAUAAAUGUUGUCUUAAAUUUUGGUGUUAUUUUUCAAUUAAAUCCAUAAUUUUAAUUCUAAAUUUGUUAAUGCUCAUUAAAUAAUAUAAAUUGCUACUUGAUUGAUCUAAUUUAUUUGUAUUUUUCUGUUAAAUAUAUUUGAGACAUCAAAUAUAUAUAAAUAUACCUUUAUUAAUAUUAACAUGUUAUUAGGUAUUUUACAUAUAAUAUUUUAAUUUUUAAAUAACUUUUAUUUAUGACAUCAUCCGAUUCAAUCCCGAUAGAAUCUGGUUGAACCUAUUAACCCCUAACCUCUGAACUCGAUCGAGUCGAUACUCGGUCUAGUUCUGAAAACAUAGGCUACAGGCACCCAUCUCACUGGGGGCUAAUGGAGCAGGGGGAUGGAGCGCCCCACUUAGAAAUGGGGGGGGGGGGGCGGGGACAUGCUCCCUCGCUCCGCCACCUCGCCCCGCCACCCACUAAAAAAAAUAAAUGUAUAAAUAAAUAUAUAUAUGUAUAUAAUCAUAUAUAUAAUAUUUAAUUUAAUUAGUUACAAACUUAUGAUGAUGAUAUUAUUAGUUAUAUGUAUUAUAUAAUGCAUAUUAGUAUAUAUAAUAUAAUUGAUAUUAUUAAUUAUACUAAUAAUUAUAUAUGUCUACUAAUAGAAAUUAUUAAUUAAUUAAUUAUACUAAAUUUACUAAUACAUUUAUACUAAAUUCUUAAUUACACUUAAUACAAUAAUACUUUUUUCUCAAAAAAAAAAUACACAAGUACAAUAAUGAAUUAGUGAUUGUAUUUGCGCUAAAAGUAAAAACUUGACUACUUUAGUUGUAUUUAUUCCAUUAUUGUAUUCAAAUAACUUUUGUUUGAUUGUUUUUAUAAGUUUAAAUUGUGAAAUUAUAAUAAAUAAUAACUUGAUGAUGUGUUAAUAUUUUAGUAUUUAUUUAUUUGCUAAAUUUUGACUAUAAUAAAUUUUUAUUAGUUUCGCAAAUGCCCUGCGAGAGAAGCAGGGCGGGGUGGGGAAGGGGCUUGGUGUGAUUUCCGAGAACGACAAAUAAAUUUAUUCUUAUUCUAGGAUUGAUCCAACCAUCAAUGUACAUAACAAUUGAGUUUUGCUAUAAAAUCAUUAAUCCAGAGUUCAAAAAAGUAACCAAACAUUGGAUUACGCUUUGCUUGCAACCUUACUCCAUUUCUUUCUUUUAUAAAAAGGUCCAACUUUAUUUCAUUUGAUUGUCCGUGAUCCCAAGAUUUUCAAAAAGUAGGAUUAUAUUUAGAAAUUCGAAGACGAAGCUGAUAUUGGUCUGUUUGGUUAGCCUGAUUUGUUUUAAAAAAAAAAGUCAAAUAUUAGUUAACUUGUACCAUAAACAUAAUUUUCAAUCACAUUUUUACCUUACACACGUCAUACUAUAAAAAGUGUUAUAGAGUGUUAUUCCAAAUAAUCUCUUAUCCAAACACAUUAUUUGUCGUGGGAUGAGGAAUGGAUGAGAUAAUUGAUAUUAUGAUUUUUUUAAAAAGUUAUUUUGACUUAAAUUUUGGUAACCGUAAGAUUAAAGUUAAACUUACGAAACAUAAAAUUAAUUUUUUUUUGUAUGUAAUUUUCAACCUCAAGCAUAAUACUCAAAAGAGACUAUAGCAUUUUUACAUGAAUGAUCCAAUAUGAGCCAAGCCUAACAUAAUAUAUAUUGCAUGGCAUUAAAUGCAAAGUUAGACAUCAAUUUAUCGUGAGCAGGGAGUAAGUUGGGAUCUACUAGAAUCUUUAUAUUGUAUAAGAUCAAGUUUCCGAAACCUUCACAAGUCCAGCUGGGUACCCUUUCCUUGACUAACUUUUAUGUAUAGAACUCAGGUAUGUAGAAAUUUAUCAGGAAUAGAGGUGUUUGAGGACACUUUCUGAUUUGAUUGUAUUUAUUGAUUGUCUGGUUUGUAAAGUCCUAGGAAGGCCUUGUUCCUUCAAUAGCAUGUUUUCUCUAUCCUGUCAUGAAAAGUAUGUACAGCCAUUUGCUAGCUAUGAUUUCUUGCAUAUCUCUGCUUCUUGUUGGUUUUCUAUUACUGUUUUGAGUGUGUGUAAAAUGAUAUCCGAUAAUUUACUAUUCGAGUUAGAGAUAAUAUUCAGUCAAAAAAUUCUUUGUUAGCUUUUGGCUCCAUGACUUUGUUAGGAAGACAUGUUAAGCCACUCCGUCAAAAGCUAGUAAUAUUUUUGUUUGGCCUUGAGUAGUUUGUUAAAAAGGUAUUGACCUCACUAAUACUUAACUAGCUAACUUCUAAGCUAAUUUGGGAUAUUGUCCUUGUUAUGUUAAUUUUCUGCCUUAUUUGUUCUCGUCUUGAUUAAGAUUCUAAUCGUGAUUGAGUUUUGUUGUAGGUAAAUAUAAGAGAGUUUAUUUUUUUGCUCAAGCUACUUGUUACCUACUAAUUAUUAUACUACUUUAUGCAGACUUGUAUUGCUUGUUCAAACUCUUUUGGCCUCUAAUCCACAGCUACUAAUUGAUUGAAGAACAAUGAAGACAAAGUUGUGUUUUGCUCUUGAAGUGUUUCGGCAGUAGCUGCUAGCUAAGUUUAGGACUUAGAUUUAUUUUUGUAAAGCUGUAGCAGGAUGUUGAACUUAAGUAUGAUAUUUUGGCAUUUCGAAUGUAAUGGAUGUCUUCUGUUUUUAAUUAACAGGCUUUGUUGUUAUUUUUCUCAAUUCGUAAAUUGAAUUGUUGGAUUGAUUAAUUCCAGUAUAAUUUUCUUUAUCAAACUACACGGUUACAGUAUAUUGUCACUAAUUAGACUUCUCCACUGACAAUGAAAUGUUGUCACUAAUUAGUAUCUCUAAACUUAAAGCCUACAGUGAUGACAAAAAGUUGUCAAUAUCACGUCUAUUUUAGUGACAAGCGUGAACCAAAGUUGUUAGUAAUUAGUCAAUACAAGCAACAAUCAUCAAGAAGUUUCAGUGACAAUGUUACUGGGGCCAUCAAGGGGCCAUCAAGAAGUUUCGUUCUUCUAGCUUCUAUGCCUCGCUACCUAAUACGGAUAGUACGGCAUAUAAUAAUAAUAAAAACAAUAAUAAUAAUAACUACUACUAUUACUCCGUCCGUCCCACUAUGAUAGUCAUGUUUUUCUUUUUUGUCUGUCCCAACUUGUAGUUCACUUUUCAAUUGAAGAAUGUAGUUGUCUUUUAAUUUCUCUAAAAUACCCUUAUUUAAUGUAAGUUGUCAUUACUAUGAACUAUUUUAUUUAAUAUAGAUUGUUAGUAUUGAAUAUAACCUAUCCCAUUUAAUGCAUUUAGAUUUUCCAAAACAUAUUGAUAUAUGAAAAGCCAACUUUAUUUAAUGUAAGGGUAUUUUAGGAAAAUAGCAAUCUAAAUUUGUUUUUCAACAAAGUUAACUACUUUUUCUUAAACUGUGUGAAAAAAAAAUUAGAACAAUCAAAAUGAGACAGAGAGAGUAAUUUUUACUGUACCAAUUUUAAAAUUUUUUGUAAGGUAGAACUUUACAUCGGGGUGCACUUGAAAGAGAUACACAUUAUGACUACCUAACUUGGGGUACCUCGCACAUUAAAGCACCUACUCUAUUAUCGAAUGGAACUAAUAUAGAAUCCUUUUCCACCAAUUAAAUAUGACAAGACUUCAAGUAUGGUUAUCCUCUCACUCUCGACUGUAUGAUUGAUGAUUACGUGGCAAACUUUUGAGUAACAAUAUGAAUGACACAAUUCACAGUUGAGUUGAUCUGUCCUAACUUGGAUGUCUAGAUAGUAAUAUAUUAAAGGACAGUUGAUCAUCUUUAUAUAAACUUCAGCAUUUCAUUACUAAUUGGUGCAGCACAUAAGUAUUGGCUCAGAAUUUGCAGGUAUCAAUCCAAAAAAAAAAACACACACACACAUAGAGAUUUUCGUUCAAGUAAUCCAGGAGAUGUCAUCUUCAACUGAAGUGGAGCAAAAAGAUGAUCACUUUGAAGAGUUUUUCCAAAGGUUGCAACCAAAGAAGCCGAUAGAAGGGGGCUUGCUGGCUAAUUACCAAGGGGUUUGGUUUGAUGCAGAUUUACUUCAAGCUACAUUAACCUUUCAAAAGAAUUUCAAAGCCAAUGAGUCUGACAUUAUUUUGGCCACCAUGCCGAAAUCAGGCACCACAUGGCUUAAAGCCCUCACCAUCAGUAUUGUUAACCGCAACAAUCAUUCAGUUGAUGAGAGCCCUUUGCUCUUCUCCAACCCUCAUUAUCUGGUUCCUUUUCUCGAGAUGUAUCUGUAGAAAGAUGGUAAUAUUCCAGAUAUAGAUGCUAUGCCUUGCCCGCGAAUCCUUGCAACUCACCUACCUUAUCAAUUCCUUCCAAGCACCAUUUUGGAUUGUUCCAACUGUCGAAUCAUCUACCUUUGCCGAAACCCUUUGGAUGUAUUCACCUCUACGCUGCACUUUGUGCUGCAAAAUCGUUUUGCAUCAAGGCCAUUGGCGUCUCUUGAUGUACCUUUUGAAGAGUUUUGUCAGGGCAUAUACCCUUAUGGUCCAUUCUGGGACCAUUGUUUGGGAUAUUGGAAUGCAAGCUUGAAGAACCCUCAAAAAGUGUUGUUUUUGAAGUAUGAGGAUUUUAAAAAAAAAGUAUCACUAGCUCCGUGAAGAAGAUAGCUAACUUUUUAGGUCAUCCAUUUUCAGCUGAGGAAGGGGAAGCAGGUUUGGUUGAAGAGAUAGCAACGCUUUGUAGCUUCGAAAAUCUUAAGAAUUUGAACUGUAACAAAGAGGGGGAGAUACAAACUGUUUUUAGAGCUAAGCAUAAUUCCUUUUUCAGGAAAGUGCCAUUGACUGAAUCUUAAAUUCACCAAACAUUGUUACUGAAUGGACCUAAAUGAAAUAAACUUGACGAUUUAGGCCAUAAACUUUUUAAAA